Molecule: ribosomal RNA, 2930 nt
Filed under: Escherichia coli
Lineage: Bacteria; Pseudomonadati; Pseudomonadota; Gammaproteobacteria; Enterobacterales; Enterobacteriaceae
Description: bacterial LSU rRNA
Rfam family: Bacterial large subunit ribosomal RNA
Source: RNAcentral
GGGUUGUGAGGUUAAGCGACUAAGCGUACACGGUGGAUGCCCUGGCAGUCAGAGGCGAUGAAGGACGUGCUAAUCUGCGAUAAGCGUCGGUAAGGUGAUAUGAACCGUUAUAACCGGCGAUUUCCGAAUGGGGAAACCCAGUGUGUUUCGACACACUAUCAUUAACUGAAUCCAUAGGUUAAUGAGGCGAACCGGGGGAACUGAAACAUCUAAGUACCCCGAGGAAAAGAAAUCAACCGAGAUUCCCCCAGUAGCGGCGAGCGAACGGGGAGCAGCCCAGAGCCUGAAUCAGUGUGUGUGUUAGUGGAAGCGUCUGGAAAGGCGUGCGAUACAGGGUGACAGCCCCGUACACAAAAAUGCACAUGCUGUGAGCUCGAUGAGUAGGGCGGGACACGUGGUAUCCUGUCUGAAUAUGGGGGGACCAUCCUCCAAGGCUAAAUACUCCUGACUGACCGAUAGUGAACCAGUACCGUGAGGGAAAGGCGAAAAGAACCCCGGCGAGGGGAGUGAAAAAGAACCUGAAACCGUGUACGUACAAGCAGUGGGAGCACGCUUAGGCGUGUGACUGCGUACCUUUUGUAUAAUGGGUCAGCGACUUAUAUUCUGUAGCAAGGUUAACCGAAUAGGGGAGCCGAAGGGAAACCGAGUCUUAACUGGGCGUUAAGUUGCAGGGUAUAGACCCGAAACCCGGUGAUCUAGCCAUGGGCAGGUUGAAGGUUGGGUAACACUAACUGGAGGACCGAACCGACUAAUGUUGAAAAAUUAGCGGAUGACUUGUGGCUGGGGGUGAAAGGCCAAUCAAACCGGGAGAUAGCUGGUUCUCCCCGAAAGCUAUUUAGGUAGCGCCUCGUGAAUUCAUCUCCGGGGGUAGAGCACUGUUUCGGCAAGGGGGUCAUCCCGACUUACCAACCCGAUGCAAACUGCGAAUACCGGAGAAUGUUAUCACGGGAGACACACGGCGGGUGCUAACGUCCGUCGUGAAGAGGGAAACAACCCAGACCGCCAGCUAAGGUCCCAAAGUCAUGGUUAAGUGGGAAACGAUGUGGGAAGGCCCAGACAGCCAGGAUGUUGGCUUAGAAGCAGCCAUCAUUUAAAGAAAGCGUAAUAGCUCACUGGUCGAGUCGGCCUGCGCGGAAGAUGUAACGGGGCUAAACCAUGCACCGAAGCUGCGGCAGCGACGCUUAUGCGUUGUUGGGUAGGGGAGCGUUCUGUAAGCCUGCGAAGGUGUGCUGUGAGGCAUGCUGGAGGUAUCAGAAGUGCGAAUGCUGACAUAAGUAACGAUAAAGCGGGUGAAAAGCCCGCUCGCCGGAAGACCAAGGGUUCCUGUCCAACGUUAAUCGGGGCAGGGUGAGUCGACCCCUAAGGCGAGGCCGAAAGGCGUAGUCGAUGGGAAACAGGUUAAUAUUCCUGUACUUGGUGUUACUGCGAAGGGGGGACGGAGAAGGCUAUGUUGGCCGGGCGACGGUUGUCCCGGUUUAAGCGUGUAGGCUGGUUUUCCAGGCAAAUCCGGAAAAUCAAGGCUGAGGCGUGAUGACGAGGCACUACGGUGCUGAAGCAACAAAUGCCCUGCUUCCAGGAAAAGCCUCUAAGCAUCAGGUAACAUCAAAUCGUACCCCAAACCGACACAGGUGGUCAGGUAGAGAAUACCAAGGCGCUUGAGAGAACUCGGGUGAAGGAACUAGGCAAAAUGGUGCCGUAACUUCGGGAGAAGGCACGCUGAUAUGUAGGUGAAGUCCCUCGCGGAUGGAGCUGAAAUCAGUCGAAGAUACCAGCUGGCUGCAACUGUUUAUUAAAAACACAGCACUGUGCAAACACGAAAGUGGACGUAUACGGUGUGACGCCUGCCCGGUGCCGGAAGGUUAAUUGAUGGGGUUAGCGCAAGCGAAGCUCUUGAUCGAAGCCCCGGUAAACGGCGGCCGUAACUAUAACGGUCCUAAGGUAGCGAAAUUCCUUGUCGGGUAAGUUCCGACCUGCACGAAUGGCGUAAUGAUGGCCAGGCUGUCUCCACCCGAGACUCAGUGAAAUUGAACUCGCUGUGAAGAUGCAGUGUACCCGCGGCAAGACGGAAAGACCCCGUGAACCUUUACUAUAGCUUGACACUGAACAUUGAGCCUUGAUGUGUAGGAUAGGUGGGAGGCUUUGAAGUGUGGACGCCAGUCUGCAUGGAGCCGACCUUGAAAUACCACCCUUUAAUGUUUGAUGUUCUAACGUUGACCCGUGAUCCGGGUUGCGGACAGUGUCUGGUGGGUAGUUUGACUGGGGCGGUCUCCUCCUAAAGAGUAACGGAGGAGCACGAAGGUUGGCUAAUCCUGGUCGGACAUCAGGAGGUUAGUGCAAUGGCAUAAGCCAGCUUGACUGCGAGCGUGACGGCGCGAGCAGGUGCGAAAGCAGGUCAUAGUGAUCCGGUGGUUCUGAAUGGAAGGGCCAUCGCUCAACGGAUAAAAGGUACUCCGGGGAUAACAGGCUGAUACCGCCCAAGAGUUCAUAUCGACGGCGGUGUUUGGCACCUCGAUGUCGGCUCAUCACAUCCUGGGGCUGAAGUAGGUCCCAAGGGUAUGGCUGUUCGCCAUUUAAAGUGGUACGCGAGCUGGGUUUAGAACGUCGUGAGACAGUUCGGUCCCUAUCUGCCGUGGGCGCUGGAGAACUGAGGGGGGCUGCUCCUAGUACGAGAGGACCGGAGUGGACGCAUCACUGGUGUUCGGGUUGUCAUGCCAAUGGCACUGCCCGGUAGCUAAAUGCGGAAGAGAUAAGUGCUGAAAGCAUCUAAGCACGAAACUUGCCCCGAGAUGAGUUCUCCCUGACUCCUUGAGAGUCCUGAAGGAACGUUGAAGACGACGACGUUGAUAGGCCGGGUGUGUAAGCGCAGCGAUGCGUUGAGCUAACCGGUACUAAUGAACCGUGAGGCUUAACCUUACAACGCCGAAGCUGUU